UUUAUUUGUAAAUGUAUAUUUUAAUUAAAUAGUUCAGAUAAAAUUGAUUUAUAUUUUAACGGAUUGGAUCGAAUUGAAUCCAACAUAUAGAAUUUAACAUUUGAUAAAUUGGACUUUGAUUUUAAUAAAAUCCAAUAGAUUUUCAAGGCUGCUCAAAUCUGCUGACAAGGAGGGCUAUACAGUUGCGAUCCAGCAAAUAUGGAUUACUGUUAAUGGGUCAAAACAGAAAGGGGUCCUUGCGCUCAGCUUUCUGAUAAAGCCCUUACUGUGGAGAAGUGGAAGUUACGGGCCAGAAACGUGGAGGCCUGGGAAAGGAAUUUGAUCCAUUAGCGAGUAUUUGGCAGCCCACACUAGCUCGAUCAACAUCGGCUAAAAUGAUUUCAGCCCAUUUUUUAUGCUGAUAGGGGUCAGUACGACCGUGGUCAGCUAGUUAUAUACAAACUGAUAUUUAUGCAAAAAAAAAAAAAAAAAAAAAAAAAAAAAUCCUGAGUGGAGCUAUUAGCACCCGUCUAAAGAUCUUUUAAAACCCAUAUUCUAAAUUUACCUUAUUAAAAUAUUUAAACAAUUGUCUGGAGUUCAUAAUAUCCUAGUUAAUUCCCAAAAUAGCCCGGAUUCACACCCCACCAUGUCUCCUCCGUUAACCCCAAUAUUGCUAGUUGUUUUUCAAUUUCGUCGUUAACAAAGGGAAUGUUUGUAUUUUAAUUUAUUUCUAAAAUUUAAAAUUGAGAGAGAGAAACCAUUUUAAAUUUUUUUAUGGGGUUAAUUAAGAAAAGGUUGCUAAUAUUACUACU
This 791-nucleotide long non-coding RNA is filed under the name Citrus x clementina. RNAcentral's name for it is "Citrus clementina (C. clementina) long non-coding RNA (CCLE_LNC005219)". Lineage: Eukaryota; Viridiplantae; Streptophyta; Magnoliopsida; Sapindales; Rutaceae. The record is from RNAcentral.